GAAGUUUGGACCGUGUCUCAGUCCCAUUGUGGCUGAUCAUCCUCUCAAACCAGCUACUGAUCGUUGCCUUGGUGGUCCAUUACACCGCCAACAAGCUAAUCAGAUGCAGACUCAUCCCAGAGCACCGAAGUUUUCACGAAUACCAUUGCAGGUACGCGCAUAUGCGGUAUUAGCAGUCGUUUCCAACUGUUGUCCCCCACUCUAGGGCAGAUUCUCUACAUAUUACUCACCCGUCCGCCACUUUCUUCUGACCGAAGCCAGAUUCUCGUUCGACUUGCAUGUAUGAAGCACGCCGCCAGCGUUCGUCCUCGAGCCACGGAUCAAACUACU
RNAcentral lists this ribosomal RNA (330 nucleotides) under uncultured cyanobacterium. Its description in RNAcentral is "partial 16S ribosomal RNA". Lineage: Bacteria; Bacillati; Cyanobacteriota. The record is from RNAcentral.